AGUUUGAGUUGUGUCCAGAUUAUUCUAAACUUAAUAUUGCUGAAACUACUACUGUUGGGCAUAUUAUUGAUUUGGUGGCUGAAUCUGCUACUUCAUAUUGUAGGCAUUCCCAUAAUUCGGCCUUUGAGCAUUUCCCACAAACACCACAAACUUAGGAAUUGCAGCACACAUAGCCACUGAAUUUCUAUUGUUAUAAUAAACCUCACACCAA
RNAcentral lists this long non-coding RNA (211 nucleotides) under Capsicum annuum. RNAcentral describes it as "long non-coding RNA (CANN_LNC015874)". Lineage: Eukaryota; Viridiplantae; Streptophyta; Magnoliopsida; Solanales; Solanaceae. The record is from RNAcentral.